UUGGGAGAAGCGAACCGGUUCGAGAACCAGCCACCACCGCCUGUGACCAUCUCUUUCCGACCGGCCAUCACUGCCGCCGGACUGCCGCCGGCGAAGACCCGUCGCCCUUCCGCGCUCUUCUCUCCACCCAGAAUCGCGGUUCCAUUCGGUCGACGACGCGUUUGAGAGCCAGCCACCACCGCCUGUGACCAUCUCGUGCCCACCGGCCACCACUGCCGCCGGAGACCCGCCGCCCGUCCGCUAUCUUUCAUCCACCCAGAAUCGCGGUUCCAUUUACUCGAGGACAAAACCCUAAACCCAAAGCCAACCGUUCAUGCAUGGAUCUUUUAAGGGGCUACUAAAUGUGAAUGAAACAAGGAGGGGCAAUUUUACGGGUUUUAUAUAAGCAUAGGUUAGCACUAAAAAAUCCAGCAGAGAAUCUGAAGUCAUGAAUGUGACGGAAAAGCUAGGCAUAAUCUCACCAUCCCUCUAGAAUUAGUACUGCUCCAUUGAGCUGCAGACUGAGAAGUGUUCUUCACAAACUUACUGAUUAUCGUAGAAGCAUGAGCAAUUUUCUAUUUAAUCAAGCAACUUUUAUCUGUCUAUUUUGGAUGAUGUCACAAUGUAUAUAAUCUCCACCAUAGCCAGGUUGAUUCUGUAUUUUAGUUGGAUUCACAAUGAUGGAUUGCACAAAAUAUGAAGGUUAUAAAUUUGCGAAUGUAGGCAUGGAACGACACAAAACCUAUAGUCGACAUUAAUGGUAUAUUACUCAUUGAUAUUUCUCUUGACCGAAAUAACAACAUUCAUUGAAACAUGAAUUUUGUCUUGUAGUCAGAAGCAAAUUCCAAUUAUGUGCAGAUUUGUAUGGUACUGGUAAAAUCCAUUUCUAUCUCAAGUUGUUUUAAGUUUCUAUGCCUUAGGAUUAACAAGGAUUAACUGUUAGUAUUUAUACACAAUAUAAAUUUAAAUAGAGAAAUUUUCUCGUUAUAUACUUCUAAACUCUAAACUCUUUGAUAGUCGCAUAUUCAAGAGUUAUUUAUUUCAUUCAAGUAGAUCAUGUUCACCCUGUUUUGCAUAUCUCUCAAGUAAGACAAUAUGUCACCAUGGGAACCCAGGCCACGAACUUGCCCCCUGGCCUCAUUUUUCAAGCAGUCUGAGUUACUUACUAAUUACUACUUUAACUUGGGAUAUGGGAUAUUCAGCUUUCUAGUUUGUUACUUACUAAUUACUACUUUAACUUGUGAGAGUAGCUACUCCUAUUAAUGAGAUUCUUUAUGUGCACUAGAAGUAAGGUGUACAGAUGACAUCAAUAUAUCUUUUGCAAAAACACAAUAUACACAAUAGUAAAAGCAGAUGCACAGAAAGGAAGAAACAAUCCUAUUCAAUUCACAUUCCACAAUCCAUAUCAGUAGUAGUUUAAUAGUUUUAUUCAAUCAAAUUGAUUCAUCUCAUAUAAAUGAAGAAAACUAAAAAUUAAAACGAGCAGGAAACUCACACAUACAAAUCCUUUACUGCAAAAGGAACUUGCUCUGUAAGCAGAAGAGAAAUUAUGGUUAGGCAGAAAGCAGAGGGUUGUCUACCACCGGUGUGUAUUCUUUUAUCUAAGAACUGGACUUUGAAACUAUGAAGAAAGAAGAUAGAUGUCUGCAAACGGAAAAUAUAGAUGUAUAAGGAAGAUGAAUAUGACUUGAAGAUUUCUACUUAGAAUGUAAAGUUGGUCAUUCAUAGCAUAUAUCUUAUCAUGUAUUAGAAUGUAAAGUUGGUCAUUCAUAGCAUAUAUCUUAUCAUGUAUCAAAAGACCAGCAAACUUACAAAAAUAACAAUUAAUUUGGCAUUAGGGCUCCACACCUGCAUGUUUUCUCCUUCACUCUGUAAUGAAUCAAAAGACUAGAAAACUAUUUUACACUGUCAGUGCAUUAUCAUUAACUAAUGUUUUAAUUCACCAACGUGUAGCUUUAGUUCACGAGUUCAUAACUAAUUUACUAGAAUAACAAAAACAUAAAAAUGAACAAAUGUUUUGCCUCAUUCCCAAAAGUUAAAACAAUGCAAGUAUAAAGAUAAAUCCAGAUGAGAGCAAGUAUAAAAAGGCAAGGCUUCUUAGAAAUAUAGAAAGGGUGGAUA
This is a long non-coding RNA of Vigna radiata var. radiata (mung bean), 2100 nucleotides long. RefSeq lists it as uncharacterized. The transcript has 5 exons. Lineage: Eukaryota; Viridiplantae; Streptophyta; Magnoliopsida; Fabales; Fabaceae. The record is from RefSeq and is a predicted model, not a curated record.